GUGGAUAUUGAGGGAGAAACAGAAAAAUCCAAGACAAUCCCCUGUGGAAGAAAAUUAUCCAACCCCAAACUCAACUGAACUCAAAGCGCUGAACAGCGCAUCAGUUAAGACCUGUCAAAUAUAAUCACACAAUCUAAUAGUUUUAAAUAUGCAAAAUAAAGA
This 162-nucleotide long non-coding RNA is filed under the name Pongo abelii (Sumatran orangutan). RNAcentral's name for it is "lincRNA". Lineage: Eukaryota; Metazoa; Chordata; Mammalia; Primates; Hominidae. The record is from RNAcentral.